AGUAACACGUGGAUAACCUACCUAUAAGACUGGGAUAACUUCGGGAAACCGGAGCUAAUACCGGAUAAUAUUAUGAACCGCAUGGUUCAAAAGUGAAAGACGGUCUUGCUGUCACUUAUGGAUGGAUCCGCGCUGCAUUAGCUAGUUGGUAAGGUAACGGCUUACCAAGGCAACGAUGCAUAGCCGACCUGAGAGGGUGAUCGGCCACACUGGAACUGAGACACGGUCCAG
This 231-nucleotide ribosomal RNA is filed under the name uncultured Staphylococcus sp. RNAcentral's name for it is "partial 16S ribosomal RNA". It matches the Rfam family "Bacterial small subunit ribosomal RNA", at positions 109 to 334 of the family's 1533-position model. The record is from RNAcentral. Lineage: Bacteria; Bacillati; Bacillota; Bacilli; Caryophanales; Staphylococcaceae.